UUCUGGCUCAGGAUGAACGCUAGCGGCAGGCUUAACACAUGCAAGUCGAGGGGCAGCGUGGAGUAGCAAUACUCUGACGGCGACCGGCGAAAGGGUGAGUAACGCGUGAGCAACAUGCCCGGUAGUGGAGAAUAGUCGAUGGAAACGUCGCGUAAUGCUCCGUAACAUAGGAGACCGCAUGAUCUUCUAUUAAUAGAUUUAUCGCUACCGGAUUGGCUCGCGUACCAUUAGCUAGUUGGCGGGGUAACGGCCCACCAAGGCGACGAUGGUUAGGGGUUCUGAGAGGAAGGUCCCCCCACAUUGGAACUGAGACACGGUCCAGACUCCUACGGGAGGCAGCAGUGAGGAAUAUUGGACAAUGGCCGAGAGGCUGAUCCAGCCAUGCCGCGUGCGGGAAGAACCGGCCCUAUGGGUUGUAAACCGCUUUUGUUGGGGAGCAAUAAGGUCCACGCGUGGAUUGAUGAGAGUACCCAGCGAAUAAGCAUCGGCUAGCUCCGUGCCAGCAGCAGC
This 510-nucleotide ribosomal RNA is filed under the name uncultured bacterium. RNAcentral describes it as "bacterial SSU rRNA". It matches the Rfam family "Bacterial small subunit ribosomal RNA", at positions 17 to 518 of the family's 1533-position model. The record is from RNAcentral.